UAGUUACAUACAUGCAGAGCGCCAUUUGUCUCAAUCUGGUGAACAGGCCGUUGGAAGCGAUUAUUUUGAUUGGUAUAUAUAUAUAUAUGAGGUCUUAGCGUUAGGAUGGAUGUGUGUUCAAGUGUGUACAAGUUUAUCAACUUGCCCAAAGUAUCCGUGUAUAUAGAAAGUGUAAAUUGAGAAAAAAUGUAUGUUUAAUAUUGCACCAUGUUUUUAUUUAAAGCAAUUUAAUCAGUCCUUUCUUUUCAGAAAUUUAUCUUCAUCGCCAUUUACUUUCCAG
Molecule: long non-coding RNA, 280 nt
Filed under: Lathyrus oleraceus (garden pea)
Lineage: Eukaryota; Viridiplantae; Streptophyta; Magnoliopsida; Fabales; Fabaceae
Description: Pisum sativum (pea) long non-coding RNA (PSAT_LNC028402)
Source: RNAcentral